AUUGAACGCUGGCGGCAGGCCUAACACAUGCGAGUCGAGCGGAUGAAGGGAGCUUGCUCCUGGAUUCAGCGGCGGACGGGUGAGUAAUGCCUAGGAAUCUGCCUGGUAGUGGGGGAUAACGUCCGGAAACGGGCGCUAAUACCGCAUACGUCCUGAGGGAGAAAGUGGGGGAUCUUCGGACCUCACGCUAUCAGAUGAGCCUAGGUCGGAUUAGCUAGUUGGUGGGGUAAGGGCCUACCAAGGCGACGAUCCGUAACUGGUCUGAGAGGAUGAUCAGUCACACUGGAACUGAGACACGGUCCAGACUCCUACGGGAGGCAGCAGUGGGGAAUAUUGGACAAUGGGCGAAAGCCUGAUCCAGCCAUGCCGCGUGUGUGAAGAAGGUCUUCGGAUUGUAAAGCACUUUAAGUUGGGAGGAAGGGCAGUAAGUUAAUACCUUGCUGUUUUGACGUUACCAACAGAAUAAGCACCGGCUAACUUCGUG
Molecule: ribosomal RNA, 484 nt
Filed under: uncultured bacterium
Lineage: Bacteria
Description: partial 16S ribosomal RNA
Rfam family: Bacterial small subunit ribosomal RNA
Source: RNAcentral